CAGCAGUAGGGAAUCUUCCACAAUGGGCGAAAGCCUGAUGGAGCAACGCCGCGUGCAGGAUGAAGGCUUUCGGGUCGUAAACUGCUUUUAUGAGUGAAGAAUAUGACGGUAACUCAUGAAUAAGCACCGGCUAACUACGUGCCAGCAGCCGCGGUCAUACGUAGGGUGCAAGCAUUAUCCGGAGUGACUGGGCGUAAAGAGUUGCGUAGGUGGUUUAAUAAGCGAAUAGUGAAACCUGAGGGCUCAACCUUCAGACUAUUAUUCGAACUGUUAAACUCGAGAGUAGCAGAGGUAACUGGAAUUUCUUGUGUAGGAGUGAAAUCCGUAGAUAUAGGAAGGAACACCAAUGGCGUAGGCAGGUUACUGGGCUAUUUCUGACACUGAGGCACGAAAGCGUGGGGAGCGAACCGGAUUAGAUACCCGGGUAGUCCACGCCGUAAACGAUGGAUACUAGCCGUGUGGGGUAUCGACCCCCUGCGUGGCGAAGCUAACGCGUUAAGUAUCCCGCCUGUGGAGUA
Molecule: ribosomal RNA, 518 nt
Filed under: uncultured Candidatus Saccharibacteria bacterium
Lineage: Bacteria; Candidatus Saccharimonadota
Description: bacterial SSU rRNA
Rfam family: Bacterial small subunit ribosomal RNA
Source: RNAcentral